UGGGGAAUAUUGCACAAUGGGGGAAACCCUGAUGCAGCGACGCCGCGUGGAGGAAGAAGUAUUUCGGUACGUAAACUCCUAUCAGCAGGGAAGAAAAUGACGGUACCUGACUAAGAAGCCCCGGCUAACUACGUGCCAGCAGCCGCGGUAAUACGUAGGGGGCGAGCGUUAUCCGGAUUCACUGGGUGUAAAGGGAGCGUAGACGGCGAUGCAAGCCUGAUGUGAAAACCCGCAGCUCAACUGCGGGCCUGCAUUGGGAACUGUAUAGCUGGAGUACUGGAGGGGCAGGCGGAAUUCCUGGUGUAGCGGUGGAAUGCGUAGAUAUCAGGAAGAACACCGGUGGCGAAGGCGGCCUGCUGGACAGAUACUGACGUUGAGGCUCGAAAGCGUGGGGAGCAAACAGGAUUAGAUACCC
RNAcentral lists this ribosomal RNA (415 nucleotides) under uncultured Lachnospiraceae bacterium. RNAcentral's name for it is "bacterial SSU rRNA". It matches the Rfam family "Bacterial small subunit ribosomal RNA", at positions 355 to 787 of the family's 1533-position model. The record is from RNAcentral. Lineage: Bacteria; Bacillati; Bacillota; Clostridia; Lachnospirales; Lachnospiraceae.